This 497-nucleotide ribosomal RNA is filed under the name uncultured bacterium. Its description in RNAcentral is "partial 16S ribosomal RNA". It matches the Rfam family "Bacterial small subunit ribosomal RNA", at positions 28 to 507 of the family's 1533-position model. The record is from RNAcentral.
GAUGAACGCUGGCGGCGUGCCUAAUACAUGCAAGUCGAGCGAACGGACGAGGAGCUUGCUCCUCUGAAGUUAGCGGCGGACGGGUGAGUAACACGUGGAUAACCUACCUAUAAGACUGGGAUAACUUCGGGAAACCGGAGCUAAUACCGGAUAAUAUAUUGAACCGCAUGGUUCAAUAGUGAAAGACGGUUUUGCUGUCACUUAUAGAUGGAUCCGCGCCGCAUUAGCUAGUUGGUAAGGUAACGGCUUACCAAGGCAACGAUGCGUAGCCGACCUGAGAGGGUGAUCGGCCACACUGGAACUGAGACACGGUCCAGACUCCUACGGGAGGCAGCAGUAGGGAAUCUUCCGCAAAGGGCGAAAGCCUGACGGAGCAACGCCGCGUGAGUGAUGAAGGUCUUCGGAUCGUAAAACUCUGUUAUUAGGGAAGAACAAAUGUGUAAGUAACUCUGCACGUCUUGACGGUACCUAAUCAGAAAGCCACGGCUAACUACGUG